Molecule: ribosomal RNA, 463 nt
Filed under: uncultured bacterium
Lineage: Bacteria
Description: partial 16S ribosomal RNA
Rfam family: Bacterial small subunit ribosomal RNA
Source: RNAcentral
CUACGGGACGCUCCAGUGGGGAAUAUUGCACAAUGGGCGCAAGCCUGAUGCAGCCAUGCCGCGUGUAUGAAGAAGGCCUUCGGGUUGUAAAGUACUUUCAGCGGGGAGGAAGGGAGUAAAGUUAAUACCUUUGCUCAUUGACGUUACCCGCAGAAGAAGCACCGGCUAACUCCGUGCCAGCAGCCGCGGUAAUACGGAGGGUGCAAGCGUUAAUCGGAAUUACUGGGCGUAAAGCGACGCAGGCGGUUUGUUAAGUCAGAUGUGAAAUCCCCGGGCUCAACCUGGGAACUGCAUCUGAUACUGGCAAGCUCGAGUCUCGUAGAGGGGGGUAGAAUUCCAGGUGUAGCGGUGAAAUGCGUAGAGAUCUGGAGGAAUACCGGUGGCGAAGGCGGCCCCCUGGACGAAGACUGACGCUCAGGUGCGAAAGCGUGGGGAGCAAACAGGAUUAGAUACCCCUGUAGUC